AUACGGAGGAUCCGAGCGUUAUCCGGAUUUAUUGGGUUUAAAGGGUGCGCAGGCGGCCAUUUAAGUCAGCGGUUAAAUCGUGGGGCUCAACCCCAUUUUGCCGCUGAUACUGGGUGGCUUGAUUGCGGUCGAGGUUGGCGGAAUUCGUUGUGUAGCGGUGAAAUGCAUAGAUAUGACGAAGAACACCGAUUGCGUAGGCAGCUGACCAGACCGCAAAUGACGCUCAUGCACGAAAGUGCGGGGAUCGAACAGGAUUAGAUACCCUGGUAGUCCGCACAGUAAACGAUGAAUACUUGUUUUCGGCGAUAUAAUGUCGGAGGCAAAGCGAAAGCGAUAAGUAUUCCACCUGGGGAGUACGCCGGCAACGGUGAAACUCAAAUGAAUUGACGGGG
Molecule: ribosomal RNA, 392 nt
Filed under: uncultured bacterium
Lineage: Bacteria
Description: partial 16S ribosomal RNA
Rfam family: Bacterial small subunit ribosomal RNA
Source: RNAcentral